RNAcentral lists this ribosomal RNA (497 nucleotides) under uncultured bacterium. RNAcentral describes it as "partial 16S ribosomal RNA". It matches the Rfam family "Bacterial small subunit ribosomal RNA", at positions 28 to 507 of the family's 1533-position model. The record is from RNAcentral.
GACGAACGCUGGCGGCGUGCCUAAUACAUGCAAGUUGAGCGCUGAAGGUUGGUACUUGUACCUACUGGAUGAGCAGCGAACGGGUGAGUAACGCGUGGGGAAUCUGCCUUUGAGCGGGGGACAACAUUUGGAAACGAAUGCUAAUACCGCAUAAAAACUUUAAACACAAGUUUUAAGUUUGAAAGAUGCAAUUGCAUCACUCAAAGAUGAUCCCGCGUUGUAUUAGCUAGUUGGUGAGGUAAAGGCUCACCAAGGCGAUGAUACAUAGCCGACCUGAGAGGGUGAUCGGCCACAUUGGGACUGAGACACGGCCCAAACUCCUACGGGAGGCAGCAGUAGGGAAUCUUCGGCAAUGGACGAAAGGCUGACCGAGCAACGCCGCGUGAGUGAAGAAGGUUUUCGGAUCGUAAAACUCUGUUGGUAGAGAAGAACGUUGGUGAGAGUGGAAAGCUCAUCAAGUGACGGUAACUACCCAGAAAGGGACGGCUAACUACGUG